RNAcentral lists this ribosomal RNA (440 nucleotides) under uncultured bacterium. RNAcentral describes it as "bacterial SSU rRNA". It matches the Rfam family "Bacterial small subunit ribosomal RNA", at positions 338 to 775 of the family's 1533-position model. The record is from RNAcentral.
CCUACGGGUGGCAGCAGUGAGGAAUAUUGGACAAUGGGCGAGAGCCUGAUCCAGCCAUGCCGCGUGCAGGAAGACGGCCCUAUGGGUUGUAAACUGCUUUUAUACAGGAAGAAACAUCCCCUCGUGAGGGGACUUGACGGUACUGUAAGAAUAAGGACCGGCUAACUCCGUGCCAGCAGCCGCGGUAAUACGGAGGGUCCGAGCGUUAUCCGGAAUCAUUGGGUUUAAAGGGUCCGUAGGCGGGCAGCUCAGUCAGUGGUGAAAGUCUGCAGCUCAACUGUAGAAUUGCCAUUGAUACUGGUUGUCUUGAAUUAUUAUGAAGUGGUUAGAAUAUGUAGUGUAGCGGUGAAAUGCAUAGAUAUUACAUAGAAUACCGAUUGCGAAGGCAGAUCACUAAUAAUAUAUUGACGCUGAGGGACGAAAGCGUGGGGAGCGAACAG